AGCGAACGCUGGCGGCAGGCCUAACACAUGCAAGUCGAACGGAUCCUUCGGGAUUAGUGGCGGACGGGUGAGUAACACGUGGGAACGUGCCCUUUGGUUCGGAACAACUCAGGGAAACUUGAGCUAAUACCGGUUGUGCCCUUCGGGGGAAAGAUUUAUCGCCAUUGGAGCGGCCCGCGUCUGUUUAGCUAGUUGGUGAGGUAACGGCCCACCAAGGCGACGAUCAGUAGCUGGUCUGAGAGGAUGAUCAGCCACACUGGGACUGAGACACGGCCCAGACUGCUACGGGAGGCAGCAGUGGGGAAUCUUGCGCACUGGGCGCAAGCGUGACGCAGCCAUGCCGCGUGAAUGAUGAAGGUCUUAGGAUUGUAAAAUUCUUUCAGCGGGGACGAUAAUGACGGUAACCGCAGAAGAAGCGCCGGCUAACUUCGUG
Molecule: ribosomal RNA, 433 nt
Filed under: uncultured bacterium
Lineage: Bacteria
Description: partial 16S ribosomal RNA
Rfam family: Bacterial small subunit ribosomal RNA
Source: RNAcentral